This 238-nucleotide ribosomal RNA is filed under the name uncultured bacterium. RNAcentral describes it as "partial 16S ribosomal RNA". It matches the Rfam family "Bacterial small subunit ribosomal RNA", at positions 524 to 761 of the family's 1533-position model. The record is from RNAcentral.
UACGGAGGGAGCUAGCGUUAUUCGGAAUUACUGGGCGUAAAGCGCACGUAGGCGGCUUUGUAAGUUAGAGGUGAAAGCCUGGAGCUCAACUCCAGAAUUGCCUUUAAGACUGCAUCGCUUGAAUCCAGGAGAGGUGAGUGGAAUUCCGAGUGUAGAGGUGAAAUUCGUAGAUAUUCGGAAGAACACCAGUGGCGAAGGCGGCUCACUGGACUGGUAUUGACGCUGAUGUGCGAAAGCG